This 912-nucleotide ribosomal RNA is filed under the name Aspergillus lucknowensis. RNAcentral describes it as "LSU rRNA". It matches the Rfam family "Eukaryotic large subunit ribosomal RNA", at positions 37 to 964 of the family's 3401-position model. Lineage: Eukaryota; Fungi; Ascomycota; Eurotiomycetes; Eurotiales; Aspergillaceae. The record is from RNAcentral.
AGCAUAUCAAUAAGCGGAGGAAAAGAAACCAACCGGGAUUGCCCCAGUAACGGCGAGUGAAGCGGCAAGAGCUCAAAUUUGAAAUCUGGCCCCCCCGGGGGUCCGAGUUGUAAUUUGCAGAGGAUGCUUCGGGCGUGGCCCCUGUCUAAGUGCCCUGGAACGGGCCGUCAGAGAGGGUGAGAGCCCCGUCUUGGGCAGGGUGCCCGCGCCCGUGUGAAGCUCCUUCGACGAGUCGAGUUGUUUGGGAAUGCAGCUCUAAAUGGGUGGUAAAUUUCAUCUAAAGCUAAAUACCGGCCGGAGACCGAUAGCGCACAAGUAGAGUGAUCGAAAGAUGAAAAGCACUUUGAAAAGAGAGUUAAACAGCACGUGAAAUUGUUGAAAGGGAAGCGCUUGCGACCAGACUCGCCCCCGGGGUUCAGCCGGCAUUCGUGCCGGUGCCCUUCCCCGGGGGCGGGCCAGCGUCGGUUUGGGCGGCCGGUCAAAGGCCCCGGGAAUGUAUCGCCCUCCGGGGCGUCUUAUAGCCCGGGGUGCAAUGCGGCCAGCCCGGACCGAGGAACGCGCUCCGGCACGGACGCUGGCGUAAUGGUCACAAACGACCCGUCUUGAAACACGGACCAAGGAGUCUAACAUCUACGCGAGUGUUCGGGUGUCAAACCCGUACGCGCAGUGAAAGCGAACGGAGGUGGGAGCCCCCCCGGGGGCGCACCAUCGACCGAUCCUGAUGUCUUCGGAUGGAUUUGAGUACGAGCGUAGCUGUGGGGACCCGAAAGAUGGUGAACUAUGCCUGAAUAGGGCGAAGCCAGAGGAAACUCUGGUGGAGGCUCGCAGCGGUUCUGACGUGCAAAUCGAUCGUCAAAUUUGGGUAUAGGGGCGAAAGACUAAUCGAACCAUCUGGUAGCUGGUUCCUGCCGA